This 83-nucleotide transfer RNA is filed under the name Candidatus Nanoarchaeia archaeon. RNAcentral's name for it is "tRNA-Ser". It matches the Rfam family "tRNA". Rfam says of the family: Transfer RNA (tRNA) molecules are approximately 80 nucleotides in length. Their secondary structure includes four short double-helical elements and three loops (D, anti-codon, and T loops). The record is from RNAcentral. Lineage: Archaea; Nanobdellati; Nanobdellota; Candidatus Nanoarchaeia.
GCCGAGAUCGCAUAAUCUGGUAUUGCACAGGACUGGAACUCCUGGCCCUUUUGGGCAUCUGGGUUCAAAUCCCAGUCUCGGCG